RNAcentral lists this ribosomal RNA (521 nucleotides) under uncultured bacterium. Its description in RNAcentral is "bacterial SSU rRNA". It matches the Rfam family "Bacterial small subunit ribosomal RNA", at positions 7 to 523 of the family's 1533-position model. The record is from RNAcentral.
GAGAGUUUGAUCCUGGCUCAGAUUGAACGCUGGCGGCAGGCCUAACACAUGCAAGUCGAGCGGAUGAAGGGAGCUUGCUCCUGGAUUCAGCGGCGGACGGGUGAGUAAUGCCUAGGAAUCUGCCUGGUAGUGGGGGAUAACGUCCGGAAACGGGCGCUAAUACCGCAUACGUCCUGAGGGAGAAAGUGGGGGAUCUUCGGACCUCACGCUAUCAGAUGAGCCUAGGUCGGAUUAGCUAGUUGGUGGGGUAAAGGCCUACCAAGGCGACGAUCCGUAACUGGUCUGAGAGGAUGAUCAGUCACACUGGAACUGAGACACGGUCCAGACUCCUACGGGAGGCAGCAGUGGGGAAUAUUGGACAAUGGGCGAAAGCCUGAUCCAGCCAUGCCGCGUGUGUGAAGAAGGUCUUCGGAUUGUAAAGCACUUUAAGUUGGGAGGAAGGGCAGUAAGUUAAUACCUUGCUGUUUUGACGUUACCAACAGAAUAAGCACCGGCUAACUUCGUGCCAGCAGCCGCGGUAA